AACCCGGGGCGGCUCCUUCCGAAGGCUCCACUCCAGCGGCUCGCUGCGGGAGACCAAGGCCAGCCGCCGUCCCAGGGGACGGCCCUCGGGGAACCUGAAUGACGUGCGAGGCCGUACCUCGGGGCGCUGGACUCCGCUCGGGCGCUCCCGCUCUCCGCUCCCGCUCUCGGGUCCCAAUCCCGACGCUCCGCGCGCUCCCGGACUAAGUGCGGACGCGCCCCACGCCCCCCGGCGCCAGCCCGGGACAGCGCUGCACCUGUUGCCACGUGCGACGCGGCGCUCAGCGGCUGCCACUGCCGCCGGCGCACCUGGCUGCACCGCGCGUCCCGGGACCACGCUCGUCCCCGCAGGAGCCCGGGGCUCCGCCGCACCCAGCGCUAGGGCCCAGGCCGGGCCGCGGUAGGUGGGGGAUCUGACUCCUGCUUGCCUCUGGCCACCUGCAGGCCGAGGGGCCUCGCACCGCGGGGCGUAUAGAAGGUGGGAAGGUUGCAGAAUUAUCAGGGCGGAAGCUUGCAAGGAAGGAGUCGUGAUUGUCUCUUAGAAGGGCUGAUUCGCAGUCUGUAUUAUCUUCAUGCUUCUAGCAAGUUUACUAGCAAGUGUGUAUUAAAGGUUAAAGAAAGUAGCUUUCCAGCUAUUAGAGCUUGAGAUACAACGUGGAAAGGAGUCUAGAACCCCAGGGAGAUAAACUAGGCUCGACCUACUUUUCUCUAAACACAAACACAGUCCUUGCUGUUUGCUAAACUGAGCAAAUUUCAUCGACAGCUGUCUUCUAGGUCCGUAAAAUAUUUUCUUCUAUAAAGCAUAUUUUUAAUAGAAAACUUGUCCGAAGAUGCUAUUCUGCCUGUGAGAGAUGUCACAUUGCUGAACCGUGAAAUGUCAGACAACCUGAGAACAAAAUUUUAAUAUUUCCUUUUUAAUUACCUGGAUUGUGGUUUGCUAAAAGCUUUUAAAGAGAAGUGAACUUUUUUGGAGAAUAGACGUAAGGACUCUGUAUUUCACAGUUUUCUAUACCAUGAAUAUUAGAAUAACUGACAGAUGUCUUGCCAUUGAUAGUUGUAAAGACUUUUCAUAUGUACAAUGAUCCAUUAUUUCCUGACUACAAAACCCAGGGGUAUAUAGGUCAGAUUAUCUCCAUUAUUCAAAUGAGGAAUUGAAGCUCAGAAAGGUCAAGUGACUAGCGCAAGGUCACACAGCCAGUGAGGGCAAGUGCAAACCCAGCCAGCCUAACUCCUAAUCUUCUCUUUUAAUUCCAUUACAUAAUGACACCUCUCAUUUGCUUCAGAAAUCCCUGUUGUAAAGAUAGAUGCAACUAGCAUGAUCCGUGUUGUUAGGAAAGGCAUGUGAUUAAUUUUAAAUAGAUAUAGUAUUUAACACCACCAGAUGAGUCUCCCUCUGAAAAAGCACACAAAAACAAAACAAAACGCUGACAUAGUUUCCGCAAGUCACGAGGCAAUUAUGCUAAUUAGCAACAAGCCUCCAUCCCUAAGCAGAAUAGUUCUUGUGUGAAACAUAUCAUUUAAUCUUUAUAACCCUGAUGUGACCUAGAUGAUUUGGUCUAAACCCCACAAUCCUAUUGUGUGGCUUAGUUAUAUCUAUAAAUAUAGAACCUGUUUUACUUCAUUUUUGUGUCAGGUGGUUUGAAGGGGGGAAACAUACAAUGCUCUGCUAAGUAAUUAGAGCUACUUACGCAGGCAUUGGGGAAUCUGAAACUUAGCUUCUAAUUGUCUCCACAUAAAAACAGAAGUUAACUUCUAGGGACAUCUUCAGGGACUCCUCAAGGCAAAUAUUCAUGAAAUGGGGCCUAUUGGCUUUUCUUUUCAUCUUGGUUCUGGGCAUGUUGCCAUGUUCCUGAUCUCUGAACUCUGAUGCUGACCUGCUACAGACUCCAGGAGCAAUAUUAAGGAUAAAAUAAUAACUCACAUAACUUUGUGGCUCUUUAUUCUAAAAAAAAAAAAAAAAGUUGGCUCAAUUUUUUUUCCUCCAUAAGAAAAUGCAAAUUGCAACUGUAUUGAGAAACCAUUUUUUCACUUAUCAGAUUGUCAAAGAUUAGAAAGUUUGAUAAUCACAGUGUUGGUAAAAGUGUAGACUAGCAGUCACAAUGAAAAUGUAAAUGUAAAUUAUAAUGACCUCCCUAGGGGGAAGGUCAGGAUACCUAACAAUAUUGCAACUAUACGUAUAAGAGUUUAUCUUGGCCCUGCGUGGUGGCACGGUGACUCAUGCCUGCAAUCCCAGCACUUGGGGAGGCCGAGGCGGGCAGAUCACCUGAGGUCAGGAGUUGGAGACCAGCCUGGCCAACAUGGUGAAACCCUGUCUCAACUAAAAAUACAAAAAUUAGCCAGACAUGAUAGCAGGCGCCUGUAAUCCCAGCUACUUGGGAGGCUGAGGCAGGAGAAUCCCUUGAACCUGGAAAGCGAAGUUUGCAGUGAGCCGAGAUUGUGACACUGCACUCCAGCCUGGGCAACGCACCGCGACUCUGUCUCAAAAAAAAAAAAAGAGUUUAUCUUACAACACACAGGAGAAAUGGUAUGUAUCUACAACCUUGUUUAUUUCAGCAUUGUUUAUAAUAAGAUAUAUUUCAAAUACAAAUAUUCUUUAGUAAAGGACUGAUAAAUCAUGAUAUAGGCAUAAAAUGAAAUCUUAUGAAAGCUUUUAAAAAGACUGAGAAAGCUCUUUGUACUUUUAUGAGAUGAUCUUCAAUCUAUGUCAUGUGCAUUUUUUAACACAAAACAAUUACCUAAUAGUAUGCUACAAUUUCUACUAAAAGGGAGGAAAUGAUACAAACUUGUAUAGAUACAUAUAUAGAUAUGUUUGUAUAAGCAUAAACUAAGCAUAAGCCACCAGGCAUGGUGGCUUGCACCUUUAAUCCCAGCUAUUUGGGAAGUCUAAGGGGGAGGAUAAUUUGAACCCAAGAGUUUGAGACCUGCCAGGGCAACUUAGACCCUGUCUCUAUAAAAAAUACAAAAAUUAGCUGCGCAUGGUGGCAUGCGCUUAUAGUCCCAGCUACUCUGGAGGCUGAGGUGGGAGGAUGGCUUGAGUCCAAGAGGUUGAGGCCAUCGUGAGCCAUGAUUGUGCCACUGCAUUGCAAGCUGGUGACAGAGCAAGACCCUGUGUCAAAAGAAAACAAAACAAAAACCCAUAAAAUAUCUGGAGAGAUAUACCAGAAGCAGAUAACAUUGGUUGUGUCUUGAGAUGGGAGUUGGAUAGUUAAAUGGCAGCAUUAGAAGAGAAAUUUGUUACUAAAUACAAUUUUGUACUUUUUUUGGAUUUUGAGCCAUAUAAAUAACAGAACCCAUUCUAAUAUUUUAAAAUGUUUUACCGCAUGAAGUUUUGCCAUCAGGAAUGACCAAAGUUUCUCUGUGAACGAAUUUCACUUAUAGAUAAAAUAAAUGAUUGGUCAGGCAUGGUGCCGUGGUAGGUGUAUCACCUGAGGUUCGGAGUUCGACAGCAGCUUGACCAACUUGGAGAAACCCCGUCUCUGCUAAAAAUACAAAAAUUAGCGGGGGCAUGGUGGUGCAUGCCUGUAAUCCCAGCUACUAGGGAGGCUGAGGCGGGAGAAUCGCUUGAACCUGGGAGGCGGAGGUUGCGGUAAGCAGAGACCUCGCCAUUGCACUCCAGCCUGGGCAACAAGAGCGAAACUCCAUCUCAAAAAAAAAAAAAAAUGUUCAAUAGAUGCUUCUGACCCUAUUUCUUCUCUAGUUUAUCUAAAAAAGACAACUUUGGUACAUAAAACUCUAACACAAGUGUGGUGAAAACGAUGAAUUAGCAAAUUGUAAAUUCCUUGCAAUUUGAUUAGCAGUGACAUCUCCCUUGGGUAGGGCUUCCAGAUAACUUUACCAAAGUUGCAUUCAAUCAGAAAUGAAAAAAGUAUUCCAGGCCUUAAUUCUCAAGGGGAACUCCAUGGAGUCAUUGCCUUUGUUCCCAAUCCGGGUCCCUUUUUUUUUAUUUAUGUUUCCUUAUGGCACCAUCUCACUGAGAAGGGAGUUGAACAUCUUUAAAAGACAGAAACAGUACAUUUUAAAAAUAAAUAUUUCAAAGUGUAAGUAUUUUUAGUAUAAAAUGGUAUUCCCGGAAAAGCAUACAGGUAAUAGUAAACAUACUAUUGAGCAACGAAUUAAAACACUGAGCUUCCUGAGACCCAGGUACGCCAACCGCUUACAUAAUUGUCAUUUUCAAAAGAGGCUGAAAGUUUCUCAAAGGAAGAAAAACUUUUCCUAGCACUGAAUUUUAAGAAAAAUUUUUGUCACUCAUUUUCAAUUCAAGACUACAAAAUGGAAAAUGACAAUAUACUAUUAAAAUACCAUAAGGAACUUCAUGUGGCUAUUUUUCAUAGUGACUGUGAAUAAAACUAGAAGUUUUUUUCUUCUUUUUUUUUAAUAGAGACGGGGUCUCGCUAUGUUGCCCAUCCUGGGCUCAAGCAAUUCUCCAGACUUGGCCUCCCAAAGUGCUGGGAUUACAGGCGUGAGCCACUGUGCCUGGCCAAAAAAACAAAAGUAUUGUAAUAAAACUCAACUUGAGGAAGUUACUCACCCAGACAGGGACCGGUCUUAUAACAGCAUAAUGAGAUCAAGGAUUGGCUGUAAAUAGAAGUGUGGAAAGACGGCAGCUUCUUCAGAUAUACUUCUGAAAGUCAAAUAUGCUCAUGGUAAAACGUGAACAUCUCCACAAAUCCCUUACCACAGAGGUAAACACAGUUGCUUUAUACAACAUUCCAGAAAUUUUCUAGUGAGCACUCAUUAGACAGGUGCUGAAGCAUUGUCAGAAGUUGCGGUAAUCUCUGGCAAAGUCCCAGAAUGCUGGAAUUUUGUGAUACUGUCGAUGACCUUUUCUUUGUUUUUGUGAAGAGAAUGUGUAUAUUACACAUAGUCAUAUGAUUUUUUUUUUUUUUUGAGACAGAGUUUCGCUCUUGUUGCCCAGACUGGAGGGCAAUGGCGUGAUCUCGGCUCACCACAACCUCUACCUCCUAGGUUCAAGCAAUUCUCCUGCCUCAGCCUCCCAAAUAACUGGGACUACAGGCAUGCACCACCAUGCCCAGCUAUUUUGUAUUUUUAGUAGAGAUAGAGUUUCUCCAUGUUGGUCAGGCUGGUCUCAAACUCCCACCCUCAGGUAAUCUACCCGCCUUGGCCUCCCAAAGUGCUGGGAUUACAGGCGUGAGCCGCCGUGCCCGGCCUAUGACUUUUAAUUCUUGUGUCCAAAGAUGGUGAGACAUGUGUGGUAAGAUACCCAAACUGACCAGCUGUAGCAAUGGCUGCAUAACAAGAAAGAGAGAACGUGAGAGCAGUAAAUGGCCCUGAUUUAUUUACCAAUAACUCCCAGGUUCUUGAUUAUCUAUUUUUUUUCUCAGUGGACUUGAAGACCCAACUGGACUCUCCUCUUUUUUCUUUUCUUUUCUUUUCUUUCUUUUUUUUUUUUUUUUUUUUUGAGAUGGUGUCUAGCUCUGUCACCCAGGCCAGAGUGCAGUGGCACGAUCUCGGCUCACUGCAACCUCUCCCAUCCAGGUUCAAGCGAUUCUUCUACCUCAGCCUCCCAAGUAGCUGGGAUUACAGGCGCCUGCCACCACACCCAGCUAAUUUUUGUAUUUUUAGUAGAGACAGGGUUUCACUGUGUUGGCCAGGCUGGUCUCGAACUCCUGACCUCAUGAUGCACCUGCCUCAGCCUCCUAAAGUGCUGAGAUUCCAAGUGUGAGCCACCACGCCUGGCCUUCUUUUUUAUUUUCUUAUUUUUGAGAAAGGAUCUCACUCUGUCAACCAAGCUGGAGUGCAGAGGUGCCAUGAUGGCUCAACCGCAGCCUCGACCUCCUGGGCUCAGUUGAUCUUCCCAAGUAGCAGGGAAUGGAGUCAUGUGCCACCAUGCCCAGCUACUUUUUGUAUUUUUUUUAUAGAGAUGGGAUUUCACCAUGUUGCUCAGGCUGGUGGCCAACUUCUUAGCUCAAGUUAUCUGCCCACCUCGGCCUUCCAAAGUGCUGGGAUUACAGGCAUGAGCCACUGCACCUGGCCCUGGACUGUCUUCUUAAUGCCCCAGAAGGUGACUAGCAGAAUAGAAAUGUUCUUAUGCCGGCUGGGCACAGUGGCUCACACCUUGUCAUCCCAGCACUUUGGGAGGCUGAGGCAGGCGGAUCAUGAAGUCAGGAGAUCAAGACCAUCCUGGCUAACAUGGUGAAACCCCAUUUCUACUAAAAAUCCAAAAAAUUAGCUGGGCAUGGUGGAGGGCACCUGUAGUCCCAGCUACUAGGGAGGCUGAGGGAGGAGAAUGGCGUGAACCUGGGAGGCGGAGCUUGCAGUGAGCUGAGAUCGUGCCACUGCACUCCAGCCUGGGCGACAGAGCGAGACUCCAUCUCAAAAAAAAAAAAAAAAAAAAGGUCCUUAUGGCAAAGUCUGAAGAUUUUUAAGUAUCUCAAGAAAGGAGUUUUUUGUUGCAAGUUCAAAGCAGUAGAAAAAAUGAAGAAAUAUAGCUUCCUCUUAUCAAAAUGACCUGCAGAAGUUUGAAAAACUCUUCCAUCUCCCCAUCCCAUGGAAGGCAUCUUCAACAGUCCUGUUCCAUUUAUAGACUCUGUAGAAGGAACAGUUCUUAUAACAUGAUGCCAAAAUUAUUCUAGUUCACACACAAACAAGUUGUCCUGUAAUUCUGCUGUGGGCCUCCUCAUAUUAGGAAGAAAUUAAGAAAAAUAUAGUACCACCAGUUUGUUAUGCAACCACUUCGAAAAUGUUUACUUUGCUUAAAAUGUCAUGGCUAAAGAAACUACUCGUCUGCAUAAUCCACUCUUGACAGUGAUUCAUAACUGUGUGACAUUUGGGCUUGGUCAGGCUUUACUCCAGUCAGAUUGAGUCUUUCCUUAAAAAGGGGAUAUAUUUUCAAUUUCAGAGUAUUUACUGCUUCAUGACAAAUAUUAAUAACAAGUCUGUGGCUUCGAGGCCUCAUACCUUUGAGACUACCACAGUCUACUUAGCAUUUUUUUUUUUUUUUACUUAGACCUUUUGAAUUUGCUUUUAAUUUAUACCCCUGGCCUUGUUCUCUUGACCAAAUAAAAGCCCUAAGAGAGCUUCCACUGCCAGCAGCCUUCCAAUUUGCUCUGUUCCCCCUUGGGCCCUGUUGAUUGGGCCCAGUGAUCACCUAAAAAGAGUGCAAAGAGUCAGGAAGGCUUGUGGGUUCAGUCUUUCUGUGCUAACACCAGGCCACAUCCAGGCCUGAUGUACUAACUGAUCUCCAGUUCAUUCCUUUUGCAAUUUUUGGCCUUGAUUCAUAGUUCCUGAUUCUUGAUUGGCUCUGAAAUCCUCCCCAUUUUCAAAAGGGAUGCAGUCAAGCAGGCCAAAGCGCUCCAUGUUAGCUAACAAAUGUUUGCAAAUCAUAAUAAUGUAGGAAGAGAACCAUAAACUAAAUGAACAACAGGCAUUAGCCCUCAUGCUGUCACAUAAGCAUUCCUCAAAAUAUAAUCAUGCUUCUAAACAUGGGCUGGCAAUUCAGGAAAGGGCCACUGAAAAUAUUAGCCUCGUUCUUUUCUCUGUAGAGUGAGCACAGACUAUUCCUAAACCACAUUGCAGUAUGCCAACAUUGUAAAUUAAUGCCUGAUUGGUUACCUAGAAGUAAGACAAUCUUACUUUUAGGCAUCUAGAACACUGAGAAAUCCAGGAUGGACACUUAACACUACCAAAGAUUGAUCUAUUUUGGGUAAGUAUACUUCUGAUCUCUUUUUGAGGACUGUAUUAGUCCAUUUUCACACUGCUAUAAAGAACUGCCUGAGGCUGGGUAAAUUAUAAAGGAAAGAGGUUUCAUUGACUCAGAGUUCUGCAUGGCUGGGGAGGCCUCAGGAAACUUAACAGUUAUGGCAGAAGGCAAGGGAGAAGCAGGUACCUUCUUUACAAGGCGGCAGAAGAGACAGAGAGGGCAGGGGAAACUGCCAUUUUUAAGCUAUCAGAUCUUGUCAGAACUCCGUCACUAUCACGAGAAGAGCAUGAGGGAAACUGCCCCCAUGACCCAAUCACCUCCCACCAUCCCCCGCUCAACACGUGGGGAUGACAAUUCAAGAUGGAAUUGUGUGGGGACACAGAGCCAAACCAUAUCAAGUACCUACAAAAUUAUGGUGACUCUUCACUAAUUUGCAAACUGAUUAUCUGCAAAUCUUAAAUAGGGAAUAAAACACAAAAAUAUCAUUAUCCCUCCAGAACUGAGGACGCAAAUUGGAUUUAGAAGACUUAGCUUUGACACCUAGAUAUGUUUUCAUUGAUUUGACCUAACUUGAUCUCAGUUUCUCUUUUAUAGAGUUAGUUCUUUAGAUCAGAGGUCCCCAACCCCAGGACUGCGGACUGCCACUGGUCUUUGGCCUGUCAGGCACCCGGCCACACAGCUGGAGGUGAGUGGCAUCAAGCAAGCAUUACCACCUGAGCUCCAACUCUAGUCAGAUCAAUGGUGGCAUUACAUUCUCAUAGGAGUGUGAACCCUAUUGUGAACUGCACAUACAAGGGAUCUAGGUAACAUGCUCCUUAUGAAAAUCUAACUAAUGCCUGAUGAUCUGAGCUGAAACAGUUUAGGCCAAAACCAUCCCUCCUGCACCCCAUUUUGUCUUCCAAGACAAAAGAUUAUUCAAGGUUGCUAUGAACACCUUUAUGUGGACAAACUAGAAAACCUAGAGGAGAUGGAUAAAUUCCUGGAAAUAUACAACCCUCCUAUAUUAAACCAGAAAUAAAAAUAAAUCAGAAACUGAGCAGAACAAUAACAAGUAGUGAGGCUGAAACAGUAAUAAGAAAAAUUGCCAAGAAAAAAUAAUCGAGGACCAGAUGGAUUCACAGCUGAAUUCUAUCAGACAUUCAAAGAAGAACUGGUACCAAUGCUAUUGAAACUAUUCCAAAAGAUAGAAUAAAACCAGUAUUACCCUAAUACCAAACCCAGGAAAGGACAUAACAAAAAAAGAAGACUACAGACCAAUAUCCCUGAUGAAGAUAGAUGCAAAAAUCCUCAACAAAAGGAUUCUCAACAAAAUACUAGCUAACCAAAUACAAUAGCAUAUCAAAAAGAUAAUACACCAUGAUCAAGUUGGUUUCAUACCAGGAACGCAGGGAUGGUUUAACACAUACAGG
RNAcentral lists this long non-coding RNA (9068 nucleotides) under Homo sapiens (human). RNAcentral describes it as "non-protein coding lnc-PCM1-4:12". Lineage: Eukaryota; Metazoa; Chordata; Mammalia; Primates; Hominidae. The record is from RNAcentral.